RNAcentral lists this ribosomal RNA (427 nucleotides) under uncultured bacterium. Its description in RNAcentral is "partial 16S ribosomal RNA". It matches the Rfam family "Bacterial small subunit ribosomal RNA", at positions 355 to 774 of the family's 1533-position model. The record is from RNAcentral.
UGGGGAAUAUUGCACAAUGGGCGCAAGCCUGAUGCAGCCAUGCCGCGUGUAUGAAGAAGGCCUUCGGGUUGUAAAGUACUUUCAGUCGGGAGGAAGGUGGUAAGGUUAAUAACCUUAUCAAUUGACGUUACCGACAGAAGAAGCACCGGCUAACUCCGUGCCAGCAGCCGCGGUAAUACGGAGGGUGCAAGCGUUAACCGGAAUUACUGGGCGUAAAGCGCACGCAGGCGGUUGAUUGAGUCAGAUGUGAAAUCCCCGGGCUUAACCCGGGAAUUGCAUCUGAUACUGGUCAGCUAGAGUCUUGUAGAGGGGGGUAGAAUUCCAUGUGUAGCGGUGAAAUGCGUAGAGAUGUGGAGGAAUACCGGUGGCGAAGGCGGCCCCCUGGACAAAGACUGACGCUCAGGUGCGAAAGCGUGGGGAGCAAACA